GAGCAAAUCUCAAAAAGACAUCUCAGUUCAGAUUGCAGGCUGCAACUCGCCUGCAUGAAGUCGGAAUUGCUAGUAAUCGUAGGUCAGCAUACUACGGUGAAUACGUUCCCGGGCCUUGUACACACCGCCCGUCAAACCAUGAGAGUUGGCAACACCCGAAGUCGGUAGUCUAACCGCAAGGAGGACGCCGCCGAAGGUGGGGUUGAUGAUUAGGGUUAAGUCGUAACAAGGUACC
Molecule: ribosomal RNA, 235 nt
Filed under: uncultured bacterium
Lineage: Bacteria
Description: partial 16S ribosomal RNA
Rfam family: Bacterial small subunit ribosomal RNA
Source: RNAcentral